RNAcentral lists this ribosomal RNA (491 nucleotides) under uncultured bacterium. RNAcentral describes it as "partial 16S ribosomal RNA". It matches the Rfam family "Bacterial small subunit ribosomal RNA", at positions 28 to 507 of the family's 1533-position model. The record is from RNAcentral.
GAUGAACGCUGUCUACAGGCUUAACACAUGCAAGUCGAGGGGAAACGACGGGGAAGCUUGCUUCCCCGGGCGUCGACCGGCGCACGGGUGAGUAACGCGUAUCCAACCUGCCUCUGACUGAGGGAUAACCCGUCGAAAGUCGGCCUAAUACCUCAUGGCAUCGUCUGCGGGCAUCCAACGACGAUUAAAGAUUUCAUCGGUCAGGGAUGGGGAUGCGUCUGAUUAGCUUGUUGGCGGGGUAACGGCCCACCAAGGCUACGAUCAGUAGGGGUUCUGAGAGGAAGGUCCCCCACAUUGGAACUGAGACACGGUCCAAACUCCUACGGGAGGCAGCAGUGAGGAAUAUUGGUCAAUGGGCGGGAGCCUGAACCAGCCAAGUAGCGUGCAGGAGGACGGCCCUAUGGGUGGUAAACUGCUUUUAUGCGGGGAUAAAGUGAGGGACGUGUCCUUCAUUGCAGGUACCGCAUGAAUAAGGACCGGCUAAUUCCGUG